GUCCACGCCGUAAACGUUGGGCACUAGGUGUGGGACCCUGUCAACGGGUUCUGUGCCGCAGCUAACGCAUUAAGUGCCCCGCAUGGGGAGUACGGCCGCAAGGCUAAAACUCAAAGGAAUUGACGGGGGCCCCGCACAAGCGGCGGAGCAUGUUGCUUAAUUCGAGGCAACGCGAAGAACCUUACCUGGGCUUGACAUGUAGGGAAAAGCUCUAGAGAUAGAGUGUCCUUAGGGGCCCUACACAGGUGGUGCAUGGCUGUCGU
RNAcentral lists this ribosomal RNA (263 nucleotides) under uncultured bacterium. RNAcentral's name for it is "partial 16S ribosomal RNA". It matches the Rfam family "Bacterial small subunit ribosomal RNA", at positions 793 to 1055 of the family's 1533-position model. The record is from RNAcentral.